GUGUCAGCCGCCGCGGUACUACGUAGGUGGCAAGCGUUAUCCGGAUUUACUGGGCGUAAAGAGUGCGUAGGCGGUUCUUCAAGUCGGAUGUGAAAUCUCCCGGCUUAACCGGGAGGGGUCAUUCGAAACUGUUGGACUAGAGGACAGCAGGGGGAGGUGGAAUUCCCGGUGUAGUGGUGAAAUGCGUAGAUAUCGGGAGGAACACCAGUGGCGAAGGCGGCCUCCUGGGCUGUUUCUGACGCUGAGGCUCGAAAGUGUGGGGAGCGAACAGGAUUAGAUACCCUGGUAGUCCACACUGUAAACAACGGACACUAGGUAUGGGGAGUAUCGACCCUUUCUGUGCCGAAGCUAACGCUUUAAGUGUCCCGCCUGGGGACUACGGCCGCAAGGCUAAAACUUAAAUGAAUUGGCGGGG
This 415-nucleotide ribosomal RNA is filed under the name uncultured prokaryote. RNAcentral describes it as "bacterial SSU rRNA". It matches the Rfam family "Bacterial small subunit ribosomal RNA", at positions 505 to 918 of the family's 1533-position model. The record is from RNAcentral.